Long non-coding RNA from Microtus ochrogaster (prairie vole), 370 nucleotides. RefSeq lists it as uncharacterized. The record is from RefSeq and is a predicted model, not a curated record. NCBI's taxonomy places the organism in Eukaryota, Metazoa, Chordata, Mammalia, Rodentia, Cricetidae. The transcript is spliced from 3 exons.
CAUCUUAAUAUAGGCUUUGUCCCGCACUGCUGCAUAUGAAUGCACUGUUCACUUCAGCAUGACUCAAUCCCUACUGAGGCACAGGAAAGCACUAUGCAGUUUAGUGACUCACUUCAGCGUGAUUCAAGUCCACUGGAUCCACUUUCUGCUGACUACUGUGAUCAACCAGAAUUACAUGAAAUAUGCUGAACAAAACUCUUCACCAUAUCACAAGCCAGAGCAAAGAAAGCAAGAAGAGAACAAGGCACAUAGUGUUAAAUGAUCCUUCUUCAUCUAGCAACUGAUGGAAACAGAGGCAGAGACCCACAUCAAACCAAUGGACUGAGCUCUACAAGUCCAGUUGAAGAGUGAGAGGAGUGAAAAUCUGAGC